Long non-coding RNA from Bombus terrestris (buff-tailed bumblebee), 2029 nucleotides. RefSeq lists it as uncharacterized. The transcript has 2 exons. NCBI's taxonomy places the organism in Eukaryota, Metazoa, Arthropoda, Insecta, Hymenoptera, Apidae. The record is from RefSeq and is a predicted model, not a curated record.
AACUGAAUAAAUUAUCCGUUAUUUAAAUCAUUCUCUUCAGCUAGAACCAAAUGUAAUAAAUAAAACAAAAUAAUAUAACAAUUAAUAAGAAAGUUUUUCUUAAAGACUUUUAGUUACCAUAUUUCUUUAAUGAUAAUAUUCUUCUAAUAAUUGAUAAUAUUCUUAACGAAAGAACAAAAAUUGCUUAAUGGUUUAUUUAAGUAUUAGAAAUAAAUUGCUUUUUUACAUCGUUUACGGCAAAGCUACUUUAGGGACAGAAGCAACAAUCAGGAUACCACAGACAGCUAGCAGUAACCAACAGCAACAAACAGCAAUCAGCAACGUUUUUGGAAAUGAAUAUAUAAUAAAAUAAAAAAUGAAUUAUUUACUGUAAAAUAAUUAUACAAAAUGGAUUUAAAAAGAGUUUCAAUAAAUCAGAAUAGCUUAACAGCAUCUUACAUUACCCACAAAAAUUCAAAAAAUGAAAUCGGGGAAUGAAAUAGAAUUCGCGAAUUUUAAAGAGGAAUCGUAUAAAAAGGAACACAAAAUAGCUUUCAGAAAUCUCGAGAAAUGAUAUCAAAUUCCAAUAAUUAUCGAGAUAAUACUACCUUCUGCAAGAUUAUAUUCUCCUGGUACAAAAUCGAAGAUUUUGACGAAAAAUUUCUUCGAAAAUCCGAAAGUUUCAACUUAAACAAAUUCCUGAAGUAUGACGUCAAGUUGCAAGAAUUAUCAAAAUUGUUCCAUCUUCUAUGUUAUUAUAUUUUUCUGAUACAAAAUUGCAAAAUCGGCCGACAAAUUUUCCGAGAAGCCAAAAAUUUCAGUUUCGAUGUAGAAUAAGUUACUUCUGUAAAGGGUUCCAUAAAAAAGAAAGUAAAUGGAUUUUAUUAAAAUAAAUGCAUACUUUGUACAGCGAACGAAAGGUUUAACAAAAAACAGAUUGACUAUAUAAUAUAUGCGAAUAAAGUUAUAAAUAAGAAUAUAAAUAAAAACAUUGUUAUGAUUGCUGCUUGCAAUCUAAAUCGCUACAGCUUUGUUGGCGCUUGCACGUGUGUGCCGACGAAGAACUAAUUAGUUCGAAGGACCACCCUCGUUCGGAGAAAAGAAAACAUUGUAUGUGGUUGACUAUUUAAAUAAAACUAUUUACGGAAUACUGGAAGCUGCUCAGUAAUCGUGCCUAAUGUUGCGCGUAACUAUUCUGUAUAAACCAUCUUGCGCGAGUGUUCUGACUAUUCGAUGUCCUAACGACGAAAAGACGGGAAAAAUGGCUUUUGUCUUCGACUUCUCCCUUUCAUAGCCAAUUUCAUGCAGGAGAAUUGGGCACAAGCAAUGUCGUAUUUAAUGGACAGUCCGUUUAAUAGUCGUUUGGCAACCUUGGAGAAUUUCCAUAAUUGCGUUAGUUUAUGGUCACCGAGGACUGUUACGGCCAGGUAUACGUAUAUAGUGGGAAAAUCCGUUAACUGUGAGGCCUGAGUUGUAAACCCACACGAAUGACAGUUACUCGGAGACCCGAUGGCCAACAGUCGUUAAUAACACACCAGUUUGUAACAAUCUAAGUAUCGAGAUCAGAUAAGCAGGUAAAAUUUUUAUAUAGGGUAGACAGGAUAACAUCAACAGACAUUCACUUUUCAAGGGGGAUAGAAACUUAAACACUAAUAAAAUUGAACACAUUUGUUGCCGUAAAUAUUUAUUGUAAAAAAUAUAGUAGUAUCGCAGGAAGAAUAAAGAUAGUACAAUUAAAAUGAUGCAAAUUUAAUGAGAACGCCGAAGAUUACAUUGAGAUAUAUACAAAAUGAGUUUAAUUUAAUCGAUAAUGAUAAAUGAAAUCGUAAGAAACAGGAGUAAUUGGGUGCUAUUGUUGAUCGCAUGUGCUAUAUACAUGUACGCAACGUAAAAAGUAUCCUACUUAGAAUUUAAGAGGCUAAUAUAACAAAAUCUUAUUAUCUGUACUUCUUCUGGUUGGAAGACGUACCAAAUAAUAAAAUAAUAUAUUUGUAUAGUUGUUUCGUUGCACACAUACGCUUAGAAUUGUAACCCUGACGUAAGAAGAUUU